UACGUAGGCAGCAAGCGUUGUUCGGAUUUACUGGGCGUAAAGGGUGUGUAGGCGGUUGUUUAAGUUUGGUGUGAAAUCUCCCGGCUCAACUGGGAGGGUGCGCCGAAUACUGAAUGACUAGAGUGCGGGAGAGGAAAGUGGAAUUCCUGGUGUAGCGGUGAAAUGCGUAGAGAUCAUGAGGAAGACCAGUGGCGAAGGCGGGUCUCUGGACAGUUCCUGACACUGAGGCACGAAGGCCAGGGGAGCAAACGGG
Molecule: ribosomal RNA, 253 nt
Filed under: uncultured bacterium
Lineage: Bacteria
Description: partial 16S ribosomal RNA
Rfam family: Bacterial small subunit ribosomal RNA
Source: RNAcentral